RNAcentral lists this ribosomal RNA (274 nucleotides) under uncultured bacterium. RNAcentral describes it as "partial 16S ribosomal RNA". It matches the Rfam family "Bacterial small subunit ribosomal RNA", at positions 523 to 796 of the family's 1533-position model. The record is from RNAcentral.
AUACGGAGGGUCCAAGCGUUGUUCGGAAUCAUUGGGCGUAAAGCGGACGUAGGCGGCUUGGCAAGUCAGAUGUGAAAUCCGAGGGCCCAACCCUGGAACUGCAUUUGAAACUGCCUCGCUAGAGUCGCGGAGAGGAUGGCGGAAUUACCGGUGUAGGGGUGAAAUCCGUAGAUAUCGGGAGGAACACCAGUGGCGAAGGCGGCCAUCUGGACGCCGACUGACGCUGAGGUCCGAAAGCGUGGGGAGCAAACAGGAUUAGAAACCCCGGUAGUCC